GAUGAACGCUGGCGGCGUGCCUAAUACAUGCAAGUCGAGCGAACAGACGAGGAGCUUGCUCCUCUGACGUUAGCGGCGGACGGGUGAGUAACACGUGGAUAACCUACCUAUAAGACUGGGAUAACUUCGGGAAACCGGAGCUAAUACCGGAUAAUAUAUUGAACCGCAUGGUUCAAUAGUGAAUGACGGUUUUGCUGUCACUUAUAGAUGGAUCCGCGCCGCAUUAGCUAGUUGGUAAGGUAACGGCUUACCAAGGCGACGAUGCGUAGCCGACCUGAGAGGGUGAUCGGCCACACUGGAACUGAGACACGGUCCAGACUCCUACGGGAGGCAGCAGUAGGGAAUCUUCCGCAAUGGGCGAAAGCCUGACGGAGCAACGCCGCGUGAGUGAUGAAGGUCUUCGGAUCGUAAAACUCUGUUAUUAGGGAAGAACAAAUGUGUAAGUAACUAUGCACGUCUUGACGGUACCUAAUCAGAAAGCCACGGCUAACUACGUG
This 497-nucleotide ribosomal RNA is filed under the name uncultured bacterium. RNAcentral's name for it is "partial 16S ribosomal RNA". It matches the Rfam family "Bacterial small subunit ribosomal RNA", at positions 28 to 507 of the family's 1533-position model. The record is from RNAcentral.